AUGAUGAACGCUAGCUACAGGCUUAACGCAUGCAAGUCGAGGGGCAUCAGGAAGAAAGCUUGCUUUCUUUGCUGGCGACCGGCGCACGGGUGAGUAACACGUAUCCAACCUGCCCUUUACUCGGGGAUAGCCUUUCGAAAGAAAGAUUAAUACCCGAUGGCAUAAUGAUUCCGCAUGGUUUCAUUAUUAAAGGAUUCCGGUAAAGGAUGGGGAUGCGUUCCAUUAGGUUGUUGGUGAGGUAACGGCUCACCAAGCCUUCGAUGGAUAGGGGUUCUGAGAGGAAGGUCCCCCACAUUGGAACUGAGACACGGUCCAAACUCCUACGGGAGGCAGCAGUGAGGAAUAUUGGUCAAUGGGCGCUAGCCUGAACCAGCCAAGUAGCGUGAAGGAUGAAGGCUCUAUGGGUCGUAAACUUCUUUUAUAUAAGAAUAAAGUGCAGUAUGUAUACUGUUUUGUAUGUAUUAUAUGAAUAAGGAUCGGCUAACUCCGUGCCAGCAGCCGCGGUAAUACGGAGGAUCCGAGCGUUAUCCGGAUUUAUUGGGUUUAAAGGGAGCGUAGGUGGACUGGUAAGUCAGUUGUGAAAGUUUGCGGCUCAACCGUAAAAUUGCAGUUGAUACUGUCAGUCUUGAGUACAGUAGAGGUGGGCGGAAUUCGUGGUGUAGCGGUGAAAUGCUUAGAUAUCACGAAGAACUCCGAUUGCGAAGGCAGCUCACUGGACUGCAACUGACACUGAUGCUCGAAAGUGUGGGUAUCAAACAGGAUUAGAUACCCUGGUAGUCCACACAGUAAACGAUGAAUACUCGCUGUUUGCGAUAUACAGUAAGCGGCCAAGCGAAAGCAUUAAGUAUUCCACCUGGGGAGUACGCCGGCAACGGUGAAACUCAAAGGAAUUGACGGGGGCCCGCACAAGCGGAGGAACAUGUGGUUUAAUUCGAUGAUACGCGAGGAACCUUACCCGGGCUUAAAUUGCAGUGGAAUGAUGUGGAAACAUGUCAGUGAGCAAUCACCGCUGUGAAGGUGCUGCAUGGUUGUCGUCAGCUCGUGCCGUGAGGUGUCGGCUUAAGUGCCAUAACGAGCGCAACCCUUAUCUUUAGUUACUAACAGGUUAUGCUGAGGACUCUAGAGAGACUGCCGUCGUAAGAUGUGAGGAAGGUGGGGAUGACGUCAAAUCAGCACGGCCCUUACGUCCGGGGCUACACACGUGUUACAAUGGGGGGGUACAGAAGGCAGCUAGCGGGUGACCGUAUGCUAAUCCCAAAAUCCUCUCUCAGUUCGGAUCGAAGUCUGCAACCCGACUUCGUGAAGCUGGAUUCGCUAGUAAUCGCGCAUCAGCCACGGCGCGGUGAAUACGUUCCCGGGCCUUGUACACACCGCCCGUCAAGCCAUGGGAGCCGGGGGUACCUGAAGUGCGUAACCGCGAGGAUCGCCCUAGGGUAAAACUGG
Molecule: ribosomal RNA, 1443 nt
Filed under: uncultured organism
Description: SSU rRNA
Rfam family: Bacterial small subunit ribosomal RNA
Source: RNAcentral